Molecule: long non-coding RNA, 8956 nt
Filed under: Equus caballus (horse)
Lineage: Eukaryota; Metazoa; Chordata; Mammalia; Perissodactyla; Equidae
Description: lncRNA (ENSECAG00000030602.3)
Source: RNAcentral
AGCAAAGAAACUUGGGGCGAGAAAGGGAAAACCUCCUUCCCCCACUUUCUUUACUCCCACUUGUCUGUGCGGUCUGCGCCCACUGUUUACAACAGACCCUUGUAGGGAGCAGGGGACGGGGGGGCUGUGCCACUCGGCGCCAGCCCCGCGCCCAGCACCGGACCGCGGGAGAUGUGACUGUGGCUCGGGACAUGGGCCCGCUUGUUCGCUCACUCUCAGUGAAAAGAGUUUUGAAAUGAGUUCUGAAUAGACAGCAUUUUCUUUGUGCGGUUGGUAAAUAACACAGAGCAAAGUUAGCAAGUUGCUGCGCUUCUGCAUUCUGAUUCUAUGGAAGCUUUUUGUAGGGCGAAGGGCAGGAUGUUUUUAACAGAAUGUGACCUCACUGGAAUACUAGAGAAAGCAAUAAAAUUUCUGAAUGGGGCAAUGUGGAGAAAUCCUAAGAGAAAUAGCAUAAGAGCAUUUUGGAAUAUAUCCCGGAAAAGAUAACUUUCUACACAUCCGGUAGAGAUUCGCCAGGAAAAGAUUAGCCCUGAGCUGACAUCUGCUGCCAAGCCUCCUCUUUUUGCUGAGGAAGACUGGCCUUGAGGUAACAUCUGUGCCCAUCUUCCUUUACUUUAUAUGUGGGAUGCCUACCACAGCAUGGCUUGCCAAGCGGUGCAUAGGUCUGUAGCCAGGAUCCGAACUGGCGAACCCCAGGGCGCCGAAGCAGAACAUGCAAACUUAACCACUGUGCCACUGGGCCGGCCCCAAUAUUUUAUUUCUUAAUGUUUAAGAAAUAGGAUAUUCCCACCCCCAAAACACUUAGACAUAAAUGCAAUUGGGAAAUGGCACUAUUUUAGAGAGUGUAAAAUAACUAAAGGGAACGCUGAUGGAUUUCACUUAUAAAAAUCUAUACCAGAACUUAGAAGGAUUAAAUAUACACAGCAAAAUGUUAACACCAAAUUUACUAUAAUAAGAGUGAAAUACGAGGAACAACAUUUGGCACUCAGAGCUCUGCAAAGAUAGAGUUGAUUCCCUCGAUAGUCACUUGAGUGCAUCCUUGUCAGAGGUGUUUUGUGAAACUCACGUCUGGGUAAGUACUUGCCUUAGGUAACCGCAAUAUCUUCUAAUGUCAAUGGUUUAUGAAUCCGUCUUAACAUUUUUAGAAUAUUUAACUUUUUUUCUCUGCAAAGCGCAAAGUAGUUUAGAGCUAUCUAUGUAUCUACCUGGGAGAUACAACUGUUAGUUGUGACACUCCAAAGUGGAGCAUCUCAAGGCCGAGAAUGCAGAAGAAGCCUUUCACAGAAGCACUGGAGUCUCAAACAAUUUGGCUCAUAUAUUUGGGUUUCUGGGGACAAACCACAACUGGUACAAUAGCCUAAGCAGAGCAGUAAGAAAAGUUUUGGCCCCUUUUUUUUUUUUUUUAAAGAUUUUAUUUUUUCCUUUUUCUCCCCAAAGCCCCCCAGUACAUAGUUGUAUAUUCUUCGUUGUGGGUCCUUCUAGUUGUAGCAUGUGGGACGCUGCCUCAGCGUGGUCUGAUGAGCAGUGCCAUGUCCGCGCCCAGGAUUCGAACCAACGAAACACUGGGCCGCCUGCAGCGGAGCGCACAGACUUAACCACUCGGCCACGGGGCCAGCCCCAAGUUUUGGCCCCUUUUGAGAGUAGUUUUCUGGGAGACAGAGUCCCAUUUAAUGCCUCUUUUUUAAAUUGAAAUAUAUUUAACAUAUAACAUUGUAAAUUUAAGGUAUACAAUAUGUCAAUUUGACACAUUUAUAAAUUGUAACAUGAUUGUAUUUAACAUAUGACAUUGUAAAUUUAAGGUAUACAAUAUGUCAAUUUGACACAUUUAUAAAUUGUAACAUGAUUGUAAUUGCCUCUUUUAAGUGAUGUCUAGAGAUUGAAUAAAGUUAUUCCUGGGCGAGAAUGAGCAUGACACCUUCAGUAACUGAUGAGGAGCUAGCUAUACAGUCUGUACGUAAAGAGUAGCAGGUAAAGCAGAAGAGGUAGGCUGAGAUAAAAUUGAGACAGUCCAAGUAGUAUUAAGAAAUUUGGACUUAAUCCUACAGAUAGAAGAGACUUUUAAGCAGGGGAUGUAUUUGUUAGGCUAACACUAGCUGUAUGAGAAAUCUAGAGAGAAAUGAGCAAUGACACUAACACAAGAGCAGUUUAACUUUUGAUCAUGUAAAUAGUCUUAAAAGUUCUCUUUUUGUGAGGAGAGUUGGGGGCUUUGGUCCAUGCAGUCAUUCAGGACUCAGAUUGCCUGGGUCUCUGCCAUCUUCAACAUACGGCUUUCAAGGUCAUCUCUGUGCAGUUGGCAGAAGAGAGCAAAGCUUGGAGACUGAGCCUGGGAUAGUUUUACAGGCUGGACUGGAAGUGGCGAACACAUCAUGCUGCUGCGCUGCCUUGGCAGGAACAUACCUAACUGCAAAGGAAGGUCGGAGGCAUAGACUGGUUGUUUGUCCAGGAAGAAAAGGAAAGUCAUGAGGAUGGACAUAACUAGAUUUUCUUUAUAGGUGAAGAAUGCUGGAGGCAGGCAAAAGGAUGUCGUGGAAAGAGGCACGUUUCCUUGGGACUGUCAGAGAGAUUGGGUGCUACAAUAUGUCAGGAGCUCAGAUAAUGAAAGAUGAGAGCUUGGAGUAAGGCAUUGAAAAUAGGGUUGGAAAAGUACAAUUAAAGGAGUUUUUAAAUGGCUGUGAGUAGCUGUGGAAAUGGUAGAGGCCCUGUUGGAGCCUGGGGGUCCUGAAUGUGUGUAGAGCAAAUUGGAAGAAUGGAAACUAGUCAGCAAGAUGGACCAAUAGGACUAGAACUUUAAAAUCUGAACUUCCUGUUAAGACUUGAGAAAGUGUAUGUUUGGGAGUUAACCCAACACAGAACAAACAAUGAGAAUGAAAAAGUGCCUUGAAUCCUAGACCAGUGAAAUUGCUGAGUAUGCUCAUCAACCAAACUGCAUUUCCACAUUGUUGAGAGCCCUUACCCGUGCUGCAGACCAGAGUUGAAUUCCAAAAGAGAAGAGACCCACCAAAUAUGAUACAGCCCCCAAGUCACACCGUAUUUGUCAUCUUUGCCUCAUUUCAUAGGAUUAGGUCCAGAAUAAUCUGUGGUCAUGAUGUCUCUUCAGCAAAGUGUGAUCUGAAAACAUGUCCAACAUUUUAAAAGUCUUUGCCAGUGAUUUAUUUAGAUGUGUUUUCUCUAUUUCUCACCUCUUUAAAAAUCAGUGGCAGCAGCUGAGCAUCCAGAGCACCAUGUUGGCCUCACCUCCAAUCCCAGGAGAUUCAGAGUGUUGGCCAACAGGCUCGUUUGCUUUGCUUUAGCUGUUCUGAAACCAUCCUUCCUCUUUUGCUCUGUCUUUUCUUUUUGUUGUUUUAAAUGCUAACAGUUCAGUCAUGAAGACACUUAUUUCAAACACAUUCGCAGAACUAAAGGUAGAAACCACAGAGAAUCCUUUGUUUGAGACAUGGUGGUCUACUGUGUCAAGUCACAAAUAGAAGGAAACCUGGGAGUCAAAUUACCUGUGUAAAAAAUGUGGAUUUUCUCCUAAGUGGAAUCAUAAUAGGCCUGAUAUGCUUUUCUGUGAAGAGGGGAAUAAGCUAGUUAUAACUGAAUGUUUGUGUUCUUCCCCAAAUUGGUAUGUUGAAGCCGUAUCCCCAAUGUGUUGGUAUUUGGAGGUGGGGCCUUUGGGAGGUAAUUCAAUUCAGAUGAGGUCAUGAAGCUGGGGCCCCCAUGAUGGCAUUAGUGUCCUUAUAAGGUAAGGAAGAGACCAGAGCUCUCUCCUUCUACCAUGUGAGGACAUGGUGAGAAAACAGCCAUCUGCAAGCCAGGAAGAAAGUCCUCACUAGGAACCAAAACACCUUGACCUUUGACUUCCAAGCCUUCAGAACUGUGAGAAAUAAACGUCUGCUGCUUAAGCCACCCAGUUUGUGGUAUUUUGUUAUAGCAGCCUGAGCUGACUAAGACGCUGGUUUAAGCACAAAUCUAUCUAAAUAGAAUAAUUGCUGUGUGUGUGUCUGUGUGGAGGAGGAAGGAGCAUGCAGAGAAAUGAGAAAUUAAGGACCUGCACAAUUUGAAUGACUUUGCAUACGUCCAGUGUAUGCACAGUGCUGGCCUUUCAGCUGUGGGAAUGUGAUCUGGAACAAACAAGAGUGCUGGGAGAUGAAGCAGAUGAGCACAUUGCCAUGGCGACUCUUUUCAGGUCACCUAAGUCCAUGAUCCAAAGCCAUCAUUUCACCACACAUGUAAAGUAUGUAAAUGGAUCUUAACACAGAAUUUUUGCAGCUGGAUGAUGCUGCACGUCCCUUGUUGAAUGAAAACAAGGCGGUUAGAGUGUGCUAGCUAGCCACCAAGUGCAAGGACCGUAUGCAAUUCAGCUGCUUGGUGAUGAAGCAAAACUUUAUCUAGCGGAUGUCAAGGCCAUAUUGCAAAUGUAUAGAUAUGGACAUAAUAGACAUAGAGACAAAUAUAGAUACAGGUAUAGGCAUAGGUAUAGAUAAAGAUAAACAUACAAGUACAGAAAUAAGCAUAUAUACGCAAUGCUUGUCAGCAAAUAUUUUACCCCUCGCUAUAUUUUAAACUAUAUUUUAAUGUUCUUGUGGUUCCUAAGGAAGAGAGUCACCUGACAAAGGAAAGAUCUUUAAAAUUUCUUAAUGAUUCCAUCAAUUUUACAUGGAAAAAUCUUCAUUUUCCUAAAUGAUGACAGCUUUUUGAAAGUUUAGAGGAUACAACACUAAUUUCUUGUAAAAAUGACAAAGGAUAAGAGCAAUAAAAUUCAUUGAGAGUUUCCUCAUCAGAUCCGUGGUAGUUUUCACUGAUCAGAUAUGACGUGUAGGUAUCAGUGGAAUGGCGGUACUGUGUAGUGGUUAAGAGUGUGAGCCUGCAGGCAGACCACCUGAAUUUUAGUCCUAGUUCAGCAACUUUAUUAGCAGUAUGUACUUGAGAAGUCUAAUGAGAUUCUAGUGCCCCAGCUUCCAGAUUAAUCCAUGAAAAGCACUUAGUGCCUGCUGUAAGAUAAACACUAAGAUAAGUGUUAGCUACCAUUACUGUUGAUAAUAUCAUCAUCAUACUAGGAAUCAUUUGAGCUAGUAUGUAGCUGCCUUGGGGGCAUCUCAUCUCUCAUUUGUUAUCAAAAUGUCACUUGAUUCUAUAAUUUUCCUAAGAUCUGAUUCUAUUUUGCUACAUUUUAUUGGCUAUAAAUAUAUCUACUUUUGCGAAUAGUUAUAGGAAAUACCCAGAGUCCAUAUGUAGAGAUUAAAAAUGGAAAAUGUGAACUGGGUGGAAAUAUCGUUAUGACUGAGGCUGCUUGGUUUAUUCCCAGGCAGCAGGCAGACUUUAGGUGUGCUGCCUACACCUGAUCCUGACAGAGCAUGUUCACAAAUGUUGGCAUGAAAGAUGGAAGACCUAGAAGUCAAACCUAUCAUUCGGCCUCUGUGGCGUUACCGAACUUGAGAUCCAGCUGAUAUUUGCUACCAGAACCUGAAACACUUCAAAGGAAACCUUGCCUCUUAACUCUGUCCAGCUGUUACUGACUUCCUUGGGGAUGCUUUGAGCCACCAAGGCAGCCCAAACUGGAGAAAAUGAAUUCCCUGUCAGGCCACUCUAGCCAUACCUCAGCAGAUUUUAGGAGGGCAGCUACGAAGUAAGUAUGAACAGCACCACGACAGAUUCCGCAGCAGGUACUUGUAAAAUUUUAGAGAUGGAGGAUUUCUUUUUGCUUUCUCUAGAGGUUACACCAAUGUAGGGCCAUUUUCUGUGCCAGGUAGCAAUUAGCUUUUAAGGUUAAAAUGCUUUUAAACUGAGUUUUCAAAAUUCCAAAAUUAGCUAGCAUCAUGCUUAGUGGUGAGAGACUGAAUUAUUUCCCUCUAAGAUCAGGAACAAAACAAUGAUAUCUACUCUUGCCCUUCUUUUCUAUACUGGAGAUUCUAGCCAAGGCAACUAGGCAAUAAAAUGAAAUAAAAGUCAUCCAAAUUGAAAGGAAGUAGUAAAACUAUCUCCAUUUGUAGAUGACAUGGUAUUGUAUGUAGAUUUGUAUAUAGAAAAUACUAAGGAAUCCACUAAAAAACUAUUAGAGUUAAUAAACAGUAUCAGUAAGGUUUUGGGUUACAAAAAUAAACAUACAAAAAUCAAUUGUAUUUCUAGACAAUAGCAAUGAACAAACAAAACAUGAAAGUAAGAAAACAAUUUUACUUACAAUAGCAUCAAAAAGAAUAAAAUGCUUAUGAAUGAAUUUAGCAGGAGAAGCGUAAAACUUUGAACACUAUAACACACUGUUGAAAGAAAUUAAAGAAGGCCUAAAUAAAUGGAAAGACAAGUUCAUGGGUUACAGAUUUCACUACUGUUAAGAUGGCAAUACUAAUCAAAAUGAUCUUCAGAUUCAACACAUUGCUAUCAAAAUCCCAGCUGACUUCUUUGCAUAAAUUGACAAAUUGAUCCUAAAUUUCAUAUGGAAAUUCAAGGGACCCAUAAUUGACAAAACAAUCUUGAAAAAGAACAAAGUUGGAGGACUCAUACAUCCCAAUUUCAAAACUUACUCCAAAGCUACAGUAAUCAAGAUAGUGUGUCACUGACAUAAAGAUAGACAUAUAGAUCAAUGGGAUAGAAUCGAGAGUCCAAAAAUAAAUCCCCACCUGUAUGGUGAAUUGAUUUUUGACAAGGACGCCAAGACCAUUCAGUGGGGAAAGAAUAUUCUUUUCAACAAAGAUACUUAGACAACUGGAUAUUCACAUGCAAAAGAGUGUAGUUGGACCCCUACUUCACACCACAUGCAAAAAUUGAUUCAAAGUGGAUUAAAGACUUACCUGUAGGGGCUAAAAAUAUAAAACUUUUAGAAGAAAACAUAGAAGUAAUCUUUGUGCCCUUGAAUCUGGCAAUAGUUUCUUACAUAUGAUAUCCAACCACAAGCAAUCAAAGAAACACGUAGAUAAAUUGGACUUUAUCAAAAUUAAAAACGUUUGUGUUUUAAAGGACAAUGUCAAGAAAGCAAAAAGACCAUGCAUACAAUGGGAAAAAAGUUUUGCAAAUUAUAUGUCUGAUAAGGGACUUGUAUCUAGAAUACAUAUAUAAAGAAUUCCUACAACUCAAUAAUAAAAAGAUAAGCAACUCAGUUUCAAAAUAAGCAAAAGACCUGAAUAGACAGUUCUCCAAAAAAGAUAUGCAAAUAACCAAUAAGCACCUGAAAAGAUGCUCAGUAUCAUUAGUCACUAGGGAAAUGCAAAUCAAAACCUCUUCACAUGCCCUAGGAUGGCCAUAAUUGUAAAAAGAUGGACAAUAGCAAGUGUUGGUGAAGAUGCGGAAAAAUUAGAACCUUCAUACACUGCUGAUGGGAAUGUAAAAUGAUGCAGCUGCUUUGGAAAACAAUCUGGACAGUCCUCAAACAGUUAAACAUGGGAUUACCAAAUGACCCAGCAAUUCUACUCCUAGGUGUAUACCCAGGAGAAAUAAAAACAUAUUCCUGCACAAAUGUGUGUAUAUGAAUGUUUAUAGCAGCAUUAUUCAUAGAUGUCCAUCAGCUGGUGAAUGGAUAAAUGAAAUGUGGUAUAUCCAAAAAAUGAAAUAUCAUUUGGUAUUAAAGAGAAAUGUACUGAUACAUGCUACAGCAUAGAUGAACCUUGAAAAUAUUAUGCUAAGUGAAAGAUGUCUGUAACAAAGGACAAGAUAUUGUAUGAUUAUUAUGAAAUGUCCAAAAUAAGCAAAUUCGUAGAGUCAGAAAGUAGGUUAGUGGCUUCCUGGGCCUGAAGGAGGGGUUGACUGGCUCAGGGGCAGAGGUGGUAGUGUGGAUGGAGAAGACUGCUGAUGGUCAUGGCAUUUCUUUUCGGAGUGAUGAAAAUGUUCUAAAAUUGUGGUAAUGGUCACGCAACUAUGAAUAUACUAAAAAUCAUUAAAUUGUAUACUUUAAAUAGGUAAAUAAUGUGGUAUACCAUUUAUAUUUCAAUAAAGCUGUUAUUUUUAAAAUUUCUAAUAUGAGAUGAUUGCUUAUUUCAGUGUUAAUAAUAUCCAUUAAAGUCCCUGAAAUUGAUAGGUGACUGGUCUGUCAGUUAGAAAUCCGUGUUGUCACUACACUGUACCUGUGGCAGCAGCAUUUGCAUCUUGUAUGGGUAUAGUUGAUAGCUCAGUAAAGAGAUUCAUUUUAAAGAGCGGCAUUUAAGUCCUCUACACUCCCAGUGUGGAGACUUCUAGAUGGCACAUUCGCUGCUCCUGAUUUGUUCUUGCAUUGGAAUAUUAUCCUUAAAUAGCACAAUGAAAGUUUGCACUAGGUGAUUAUAUUAUUUACAAUGAUAAAUGUAUUGCAAAACGUUGAUGAAGUGAUGGCUCACAUGUUAGGAAGGAAAGUGAAUCUACACAUGCCCCUCACAUGAGAAAUGGGGCUAUUUUUAAAGUCAGGUUGAAAAGCUUUAAAUAUUGUACCCAAUUUAAGCAAGUAGUAGACUGCUUUCUUUAGACUUUCUGUAGACUUGCUUUCUGUAGACUUGGAGGACAUCAGUAUAACAGGCUAGAGGAAUCCUAUCCCUGUGCAGUGCUGUGAGUUCCUUGGCGUGAAUGCGCUGCGAAGGAAGGGUGGGGCAGCCAGAAAAGGCAAGAGGUGGGGCCUGUGGGAGGGUGGGGUGCCUCUUAUAAACCAAAACACUGUGAAAAAACAAUGAGGGGAAAGGAUCUCAAACAAUUUAUUUAGGUCCUUCAGGAAUAGAAGACUAAGAUCUUUUAUCUUGCAUUCCUCAUUCUGUACAGACGGCCUAGCACGGUGUCUUUGAGGUUUGUUGAAUGUUGAAAGGAUGUGAGAAGGUUUUAAUUCUUGAAAAUUUUUUGUCAGCUAUCCUCUUCUAAGGCAAUAAGUUCUUACAAAUUUCUUUUUUUCUUUUCUGUUAUAGACAAAGAGUCUAGUUUUCUCUUAUACAAUGAUACUGCCAUGAUGGUUUUUCUUAAAAGUAACGAAAAAUAAGUAGACUCAAACUUUUAAAAGUGUCGAUAUGUGGUUCACCUCUACAAACAA